CGGGUUCGACUCCCGGCAGACGCAUUUGAUCACUUUUUGUACCGUAUUGCCCCUUUUCCCUUCUUAUUAAAAAUUAAAAGAUAAACUUAAAUAUUUUUCCACCUCGACACACGUGCACACUUGCCGCUUGGUUAUAAUUCCGAGGGAAAAUAUUUUUGUUUAAUGCUAUAAAAUAUUCUUUCUUUGCAACCCUGGAACUAAAACAUUCUCUGCUUCUACAAGUCCCUGCCCCUUGAGUUUUCCGCUCAUUACAAGUUGGCUCAGAAAACAUCAUGAACCUUGUGAUGUUCAUGCAUUGCUAAAUUAAAAAUGAGUGAAUGAUUCAUCAAGAGGCGUUGUUUCUUACGCCAAACAGACAACAUACCUCCAUAGCAAUCCUUGAUUUUGGGAUCACUUAGAAGUUCUAUGUUGGAUUUUGGACUUUCAGAUCUGGUGUAGUUGCAGUAGCACUUGAAGAAGGCAAAGGAAGACACUGUUAUGGUCAGCAUGCAAGGAUGGGAGUUUCUAUUAAAUCAUGUUAUGAACUACAGAAAAAACAAGCAGGUUCAAGGCAUGGAUAGAAGAUUGAAGAAAGAUUUGUUUAUUUGAUGCAUAACUGAUUAAUAUGUAUGCCUCAAAAUACAUGGUUUUCCCUGUUUGGUUUAUGCUUAAAUAUUGGGCAAAAAACAUAUAUGUACAUGAUAAGAGGGUAUAUUUACAGAACAUGACGAUGUUUUUCAGUUAACAAAAUAUAUCAAUAGACUUAUUACAAAAUCUAUACGAAUUAGGUAAAUUAAAAAGAAGCAAAUAAAACACAUUAAAUAAGGUAAGGAAAUUGUUUUACUUAUUUUAUUCAUGUUUCUCUCUCCAUUCAAAAUUUAGAGAUAUAGUUCCCUGAUUUUCUCCAACUUUUGCUUCCUUAUUUCAUCCACUUUUCUCUCACCAUUCAAAAUUAAGAGAUAUUGUUACCUAAUUUUCUCCAACUUUUACUCAAAAACUCCAUUAUAAUCGGUAAUUUUUAUGUAAAA
Long non-coding RNA from Lycium ferocissimum, 1007 nucleotides. RefSeq lists it as uncharacterized. Lineage: Eukaryota; Viridiplantae; Streptophyta; Magnoliopsida; Solanales; Solanaceae. The record is from RefSeq and is a predicted model, not a curated record. The transcript is spliced from 4 exons.